RNAcentral lists this unclassified non-coding RNA (1438 nucleotides) under Hevea brasiliensis (rubber tree). Lineage: Eukaryota; Viridiplantae; Streptophyta; Magnoliopsida; Malpighiales; Euphorbiaceae. The record is from RNAcentral.
UUUUUUCUCAGCUGCAAAACUUUUUCUUGUAAAAUUAUGUAUCGUUUUGCAGCAAAACUUGCUUCUAAAUCCAGGGUUGCCAGAAGCAGCACCCAACAGGUUGGUAGUAGGUUGAAUUGGAGCAGAAACUAUGCUGCUAAGGAUAUUAAAUUUGGAGUUGAAGCUAGGGGAAUUAUGCUUCAAGGAGUUGAGCAGCUUGCUGAUGCAGUCAAAGUCACUAUGGGUCCAAAGGGUCGUAAUGUGGUGAUUGAACAAAGUUGGGGUGCACCCAAGGUGACAAAAGAUGGUGUCACUGUUGCAAAAAGCAUUGAAUUCAAGGAUAAAAUAAAAAAUGUUGGUGCCAGCCUUGUAAAGCAAGUUGCCAAUGCCACUAAUGAUGCUGCUGGCGAUGGUACCACUUGUGCAACAGUACUCACCCGAGCAAUAUUUGCUGAAGGAUGCAAGUCAGUGGCAGCUGGUAUGAAUGCAAUGGACCUUAGACGGGGUAUUACCAUGGCUGUAGAUUCUGUUGUGACAAACCUGAAAAGCAGAGCACGGAUGAUAAGCACAUCCGAGGAGAUUGCCCAGGUUGGUACAAUCUCUGCAAAUGGAGAACGGGAAAUAGGUGAGAUAAUUGCAAGGGCUAUGGAGCAAGUAGGAAAAGAAGGUGUCAUCACUAUUCAAGAUGGAAAGACACUGCUUAAUGAUUUGCAAGUUGUUGAGGGGAUGAAGUUGGACAGGGGCUACAUAUCCCCAUACUUCAUCACAAAUGAGAAGAAUCAGAAAUGUGAGCUGGAUGACCCACUUAUUCUUAUUCAUGAGAAAAAGAUCUCAAGCAUAAAUGCUAUUGUGAAAGUGUUAGAAUUGGCUUUGAAGAGACAAAGGCCCCUCCUAAUUGUGUCCGAAGAUGUGGAGAGUGAAGCACUCGCUACACUUAUUCUGAACAAGCUUCGUGCUGGAAUCAAGGUUUGCGCCAUAAAAGCACCAGGAUUUGGUGAAAACAGGAAGGCUAAUUUGCAAGAUUUGGCUGCUUUAACUGGAGGCCAGGUCAUUACCGAAGAACUUGGAAUGAACAUUGAAAAUGUGGAGUUGGAGAUGCUGGGUAAAUGCAAAAAGGUGACCAUCUCCAAGGAUGACACUGUUGUUCUUGAUGGUGCGGGUGAGAAGAAGGCCAUAGAGGAGAGAUGUGAACAGAUUAGAUCAGCAAUUGAACUGAGCACGUCUGAUUAUGACAAGGAGAAAUUGCAGGAAAGACUAGCUAGGCUUUCAGGGGGUGUUGCAGUGUUGAAGGUAGGAGGAGCUAGUGAAGUCGAGGUUGGUGAGAAGAAAGACAGAGUUACAGAUGCUUUGAAUGCCACAAAAGCUGCUGUCGAGGAAGGAAUUCUUCCAGGUGGUGGGGUUGCACUUCUUUACGCAUCAAAAGAACUGGACUCAUUGCCAACAGCCAACUUUGACCAGA